CAAGAGCGUAUAUUAAAGUUGCUGCGGUUAAAAAGCUCGUAGUUGGAUUUCAGUCUAGGAAGGUUAACUCGCCGAAAGGUUGUUCGUUGAUUUUCCUCAGACUUCGUCAGAAGCUCGUGCUGCACUUAACUGUGUGGUACGAUGUUCUGACCUUUUACCUUGAGGAAAGUAGAGUGUUUCAGGCAGGCUACCCAGCUUGAAUACAUUAGCAUGGAAUAAUGAAAUGGAUCUCGGUUCGAUUUCGUUGGUUCUAGAGCUGAGGUGAUGAUCAAUAGGAACAGGCGAAGGUAUUCGUACUUGAGAGUGAGGAGUGAAAUCCGAUGAUCUCUUAAAGACGAUCCGAGGCGAAAGCAUUUGUCAAGGAUGUUUUCAUUGA
Molecule: ribosomal RNA, 376 nt
Filed under: uncultured eukaryote
Lineage: Eukaryota
Description: partial 18S ribosomal RNA
Rfam family: Eukaryotic small subunit ribosomal RNA
Source: RNAcentral